This 73-nucleotide transfer RNA is filed under the name Cordylochernes scorpioides. RNAcentral describes it as "tRNA-Arg". It matches the Rfam family "tRNA". Rfam says of the family: Transfer RNA (tRNA) molecules are approximately 80 nucleotides in length. Their secondary structure includes four short double-helical elements and three loops (D, anti-codon, and T loops). Further hydrogen bonds mediate the characteristic L-shaped molecular structure. tRNAs have two regions of fundamental functional importance: the anti-codon, which is responsible for specific mRNA codon recognition, and the 3' end, to which the tRNAs corresponding amino acid is attached (by aminoacyl-tRNA synthetases). tRNAs cope with the degeneracy of the genetic code in two manners: having more than one tRNA (with a specific anti-codon) for a particular amino acid; and 'wobble' base-pairing, i.e. permitting non-standard base-pairing at the 3rd anti-codon position. Lineage: Eukaryota; Metazoa; Arthropoda; Arachnida; Pseudoscorpiones; Chernetidae. RNAcentral also lists the same sequence under 1 other name. The record is from RNAcentral.
GCCUCCGUGGCCUAAUGGAUAAGGCAUCGGUCUCCUAAACCGGGGAUUGUGGGUUCGAAUCCCACCGGAGGUA